Molecule: ribosomal RNA, 272 nt
Filed under: uncultured Acholeplasma sp.
Lineage: Bacteria; Bacillati; Mycoplasmatota; Mollicutes; Acholeplasmatales; Acholeplasmataceae
Description: partial 16S ribosomal RNA
Rfam family: Bacterial small subunit ribosomal RNA
Source: RNAcentral
AUUGCUAGUUACCAUCAUUGAUUGGGACUCUAGCGAGACUGCCAGUGAUAAACUGGAGGAAGGUGGGGAUGACGUCAAAUCAUCAUGCCCCUUAUGACCUGGGCUACAAACGUGAUACAAUGGCUGAAACAGAGGGAGGCGAAGGGGUGACCUGGAGCGAAACCCAGAAAAACAGUCUCAGUUCGGAUUGAAGUCUGCAACUCGACUUCAUGAAGUCGGAAUCGCUAGUAAUCGCGGAUCAGAACGCCGCGGUGAAUACGUUCUCGGGGCUU